GGGUGUGAGGGAGAUCUGGUUACAUUAUCUGCCACUCCACUGAUUACCCAGGUUGAUUCUGCUGAUCUGGCUUGUUAGAUGGUGUCCUCCUUCAAUGUUCCAUGGGUGUUCCUCCCAAACCUGUUCACUUGGUUAGAGAGGACAACCUUCCCCAGUGCAACGGCAUAGCUGGGGGUGUGGUCUUCCCUGGACAGCACAUUUUCUGAGCAUCAUUAUUGGUCAAAAGGAAAAUUAUAUUGAUACAAUAUAUUCCAUUUU
RNAcentral lists this small nuclear RNA (258 nucleotides) under Chinchilla lanigera (long-tailed chinchilla). RNAcentral describes it as "7SK RNA (ENSCLAG00000021538.1)". It matches the Rfam family "7SK RNA". From Rfam's summary of the family: 7SK was discovered as an abundant small nuclear RNA in the mid-70s but a possible function has only recently been suggested. Two independent studies have found that 7SK RNA binds the CDK9/cyclin T complex (known as elongation factor P-TEFb). P-TEFb activates transcription by phosphorylating the C-terminal domain of RNA polymerase II. Lineage: Eukaryota; Metazoa; Chordata; Mammalia; Rodentia; Chinchillidae. The record is from Rfam by way of RNAcentral.